Molecule: long non-coding RNA, 698 nt
Organism: Ornithorhynchus anatinus (platypus)
Lineage: Eukaryota; Metazoa; Chordata; Mammalia; Monotremata; Ornithorhynchidae
Exons: 3
Source: RefSeq, a predicted model, not a curated record
AGUACUUCCCAGCGUAAAUUGCAAGUGGUCUCGGCCCCAUGGCAAGUCUUGUCAUCAGUGGAGAGGUGAAGACCCUGGACUUGUGUUUUUAAAACAACGGAACGCUGCUAUUGAGAAAGCUCCUGCCCCGGAGGGAGAAUAGGUUUUUCUGGAACCAGGGAAAGCAUCAAGAGCCCAUUUUCCUAUGAGAUGGAUGUUGAGCAAGAAGAUUGGGAGGGAUGUCAACCACCUUCUCGCCUGUACCUGAGAGGAAGAGGAGUAUGUUGAACAGACCCUCACAUACCACCUGGAAAGUGUGCAAUUCUGGACUACCACUAGACGGACUCUUCCAGGUAGGAGACAGCAUUGAAGGAACUGAAGCCAGUGGGCCCAAGUGAUGGAAAUGGGCUGUAUUGGUUUUUUAGUGGCCUGUUUUCUAACAUCAUCAUCUUGCUGGAUAGUUUCUUAAAAAUACUUUCCUCCCAUUGAGCUGUAAAUUGACAAUAAGUACAAAUUCAAAAUCUACAAGGUUGUGGUUCAAGAGUCCUGAAGACAGAUGGGUAAAUGUUGUUUAUGGUGUGUUCCAUUCUUGCAGAAAAAAGUAAACCUAUUAGGUAACUUUUUCACUGCACUUAAAUGAGACAAUUCCCACCCAUUCAUGUCCAGAAGAAUGGAGAGGAAGUUUUUUAUCCGCCCUACCAUAUGUAUAUUUAAACCUA